Molecule: ribosomal RNA, 879 nt
Filed under: uncultured bacterium
Lineage: Bacteria
Description: bacterial SSU rRNA
Rfam family: Bacterial small subunit ribosomal RNA
Source: RNAcentral
GAGCGCUGGCGGCGUGCCUAAUACAUGCAAGUAGAACGCUGAAGAGAGGAGCUUGCUCUUCUUGGAUGAGUUGCGAACGGGUGAGUAACGCGUAGGUAACCUGCCUUGUAGCGGGGGAUAACUAUUGGAAACGAUAGCUAAUACCGCAUAACAAUGGAUGACUCAUGUCAUUUAUUUGAAAGGGGCAAAUGCUCCACUACAAGAUGGACCUGCGUUGUAUUAGCUAGUAGGUGAGGUAACGGCUCACCUAGGCGACGAUACAUAGCCGACCUGAGAGGGUGAUCGGCCACACUGGGACUGAGACAUGGCCCAGACUCCUACGGGAGGCAGCAGUAGGGAAUCUUCGGCAAUGGGGGCAACCCUGACCGAGCAACGCCGCGUGAGUGAAGAAGGUUUUCGGAUCGUAAAGCUCUGUUGUAAGUCAAGAACGAGUGUGAGAGUGGAAAGUUCACACUGUGACGGUAGCUUACCAGAAAGGGACGGCUAACUACGUGCCAGCAGCCGCGGUAAUACGUAGGUCCCGAGCGUUGUCCGGAUUUAUUGGGCGUAAAGCGAGCGCAGGCGGUUUGAUAAGUCUGAAGUUAAAGGCUGUGGCUCAACCAUAGUUCGCUUUGGAAACUGUCAAACUUGAGUGCAGAAGGGGAGAGUGGAAUUCCAUGUGUAGCGGUGAAAUGCGUAGAUAUAUGGAGGAACACCGGUGGCGAAAGCGGCUCUCUGGUCUGUAACUGACGCUGAGGCUCGAAAGCGUGGGGAGCGAACAGGAUUAGAUACCCUGGUAGUCCACGCCGUAAACGAUGAGUGCUAGGUGUUGGAUCCUUUCCGGGAUUCAGUGCCGCAGCUAACGCAUUAAGCACUCCGCCUGGGGAGUACGACCGCAAG